RNAcentral lists this unclassified non-coding RNA (269 nucleotides) under Streptomyces scabiei. Its description in RNAcentral is "partial 16S-23S ribosomal RNA intergenic spacer". The record is from RNAcentral. Lineage: Bacteria; Bacillati; Actinomycetota; Actinomycetes; Kitasatosporales; Streptomycetaceae.
AAGGAGCAUCUAGCUGCCGCAAGCAGCCAGGGCCACAACGUCGGCGAACGUCCGACGGUGGUUGCUCAUGGGUGGAACGUUGAUUAUUCGGCACUUUCAGUCAUCUCGGGCUGCCAGUACUGCUCUUCGGAGCGUGGAACGCUGAUCAUGAGUGGCGAGGGUGUCGGGCACGCUGUUGGGUGUCUGAGGGUAUGGCCGUAUGGCUGCCUUCAGUGCCGGCCCCAGUGAACUCCGGUGGUUAUCCGGGGGUGAUGGGUGGUUGGUCGUUG